CUUCAGUGAUGAGACGAUGACGAGUCGGAACGGGACACAGUCUCUGCGGUCACUGGGUCAGGGUCACGUUCUGUGUCUCUGGGUUCAGCUUUCCAGGGCAGUGUGUCUUUUCAGUUGAAGACAUUGAGGCAUUUGUCUGAGAAGG
Small nucleolar RNA from Salmo trutta (river trout), 145 nucleotides. The record is from Ensembl. Lineage: Eukaryota; Metazoa; Chordata; Actinopteri; Salmoniformes; Salmonidae.